AAACACCCAGAGUCAAACACCAAGGAAGAAAUGACUAAGGCAUGAUUUCUAUCUUGGAAAACCUCGGAUACAGGGACAGAAAAAUCACAGUCCUCUAAAGGGACCCGAUAGAUACUCCAGGGGACCUGCAGGAAAGGAUGUGCGCGGCGGUAGGAGCACCCCGUGUUUCUUGCAGAAUUAGUUACAGUGGCCAGGAGAGGGAAGCAACCCACGUGUCCGUCCUCUGAUGGCCGGACAAGGAAGAGGGGGUGUGUAUGUCUAGAAUGGGAUAUUACUCGGCCAUCGAAAGGAAUGAGACCCUUCCAUUUGCAAGGACAGGGAUGGAAUUUAGAGAG
Long non-coding RNA from Mustela erminea (ermine), 335 nucleotides. RefSeq lists it as uncharacterized. The record is from RefSeq and is a predicted model, not a curated record. The transcript has 3 exons. Lineage: Eukaryota; Metazoa; Chordata; Mammalia; Carnivora; Mustelidae.